This 483-nucleotide ribosomal RNA is filed under the name uncultured bacterium. RNAcentral's name for it is "partial 16S ribosomal RNA". It matches the Rfam family "Bacterial small subunit ribosomal RNA", at positions 28 to 507 of the family's 1533-position model. The record is from RNAcentral.
GACGAGCGCUGGCGGCGUGCUUAACACAUGCAAGUCGAACGCUGAAGCUCAGCUUUUGUUGGGUGGAUGAGUGGCGAACGGGUGAGUAACACGUGAGUAACCUGCCCCCUUCUUUGGGAUAACGCCCGGAAACGGGUGCUAAUACUGGAUAUUCACUGGUCUUCGCAUGGGGGUUGGUGGAAAGGGUUUUUCUGGUGGGGGAUGGGCUCGCGGCCUAUCAGCUUGUUGGUGGGGUGAUGGCCUACCAAGGCUUUGACGGGUAGCCGGCCUGAGAGGGUGACCGGUCACAUUGGGACUGAGAUACGGCCCAGACUCCUACGGGAGGCAGCAGUGGGGAAUAUUGCACAAUGGGCGCAAGCCUGAUGCAGCGAUGCCGCGUGAGGGAUGGAGGCCUUCGGGUUGUGAACCUCUUUCGCUCAUGGUCAAGCCGCAACAAUGGUUGUGGUGAGGGUAGUGGGUAAAGAAGCGCCGGCUAACUACGUG